GACGAACGCUGGCGGCGUGCCUAAUACAUGCAAGUAGAACGCUGAAGAGAGGAGCUUGCUCUUCUUGGAUGAGUUGCGAACGGGUGAGUAACGCGUAGGUAACCUGCCUUGUAGCGGGGGAUAACUAUUGGAAACGAUAGCUAAUACCGCAUAACAAUGGAUGACACAUGUCAUUUAUUUGAAAGGGGCAAUUGCUCCACUACAAGAUGGACCUGCGUUGUAUUAGCUAGUAGGUGAGGUAACGGCUCACCUAGGCGACGAUACAUAGCCGACCUGAGAGGGUGAUCGGCCACACUGGGAAUGAGACACGGCCCAGACGCCUACGGGAGGCAGCAGUAGGGAAUCUUCGGCAAUGGGGGCAACCCUGACCGAGCAACGCCGCGUGAGUGAAGAAGGUUUUCGGAUCGUAAAGCUCUGUUGUAAGUCAAGAACGAGUGUGAGAGUGGAAAGUUCACACUGUGACGGUAGCUUACCAGAAAGGGACGGCUAACUACGUG
Molecule: ribosomal RNA, 497 nt
Filed under: uncultured bacterium
Lineage: Bacteria
Description: partial 16S ribosomal RNA
Rfam family: Bacterial small subunit ribosomal RNA
Source: RNAcentral